Molecule: ribosomal RNA, 494 nt
Filed under: uncultured bacterium
Lineage: Bacteria
Description: partial 16S ribosomal RNA
Rfam family: Bacterial small subunit ribosomal RNA
Source: RNAcentral
UCCUCCCUCUGGCGGCGUGCUUAACACAUGCAAGUCGAACGGAAAGGCCUGCUUUCCCUUGUGGAUUGCGGGUACUCGAGUGGCGAACGGGUGAGUAACACGUGAGUGAUCUGCCCCCAACUUGGGUAUAAGCCUGGGAAACUGGGUCUAAUUCCCGAUAGGACUGCAGGGUGGUGCCUGUGGUGGAAAACGAUUUUCUAGUGGUUGGGGAUGAGCUCGCGGCCUAUCAGCUUGUUGGUGGGGUAAUGGCCUACCAAGGCGGCGACGGGUAGCCGGCCUGAGAGGGUGGACGGCCACAUUGGGACUGAGAUACGGCCCAGACGCCUACGGGAGGCAGCAGUGGGGAAUAUUGCACAAUGGGCGGAAGCCUGAUGCAGCGACGCCGCGGGGGGGAUGACGGCCUUCGGGUUGUAAACUCCUUUCGACCGCGAGGAAGCCACCUGGUUGGAAGGGUGGUGACGGUAGUGGUAGAAGAAGCACCGGCUAACUACGUG